RNAcentral lists this ribosomal RNA (270 nucleotides) under uncultured bacterium. RNAcentral's name for it is "partial 16S ribosomal RNA". It matches the Rfam family "Bacterial small subunit ribosomal RNA", at positions 793 to 1055 of the family's 1533-position model. The record is from RNAcentral.
GUCCACGCCCUAAACGAUGGAUACUACGUAGGUGACCCUCCAAGGGGAUCCCUGCCGGAGCAAAAGCGUUAAGUAUCCCGCCUGGGGAGUAUGGUCGCAAGGCUGAAACUCAAAGGAAUUGACGGGGGCUCACACAAGCGGUGGAGCAUGUUGCUCAAUUCGAAGCAACGCGAAGAACCUUACCCAGGCUCGAAGCGCACGGAUUAACUCCAUGAAAGUGGAGCGACUCCUUAACCGGUGGAACGUGCGUAGGUGUUGCAUGGCUGUCGU